Molecule: small nuclear RNA, 104 nt
Organism: Octodon degus (degu)
Lineage: Eukaryota; Metazoa; Chordata; Mammalia; Rodentia; Octodontidae
Source: Ensembl
GUGCUUGCUUCAGCAGCACAUAUACUAAAAUUGGAAUGACACAGAGAUUAGCAUGGCCCCUGCACAAGGAUGACACGCAAAUUUGUGAAGCAUUUCACAUUUUA